UACGUAGGGGGCGAGCGUUAAUCGGAAUUACUGGGCGUAAAGCGUGCGCAGGCGGUUGUAUAAGUCAGAUGUGAAAUCCCCGGGCUCAACCUGGGAACUGCAUUUGAGACUGUAUGGCUAGAGUUUGGCAGAGGGGGGUGGAAUUCCACGUGUAGCAGUGAAAUGCGUAGAGAUGUGGAGGAACACCGAUGGCGAAGGCAGCCCCCUGGGCCCAUACUGACGCUCAUGCACGAAAGCGUGGGGAGCAAACAGG
RNAcentral lists this ribosomal RNA (253 nucleotides) under uncultured bacterium. RNAcentral's name for it is "partial 16S ribosomal RNA". It matches the Rfam family "Bacterial small subunit ribosomal RNA", at positions 524 to 776 of the family's 1533-position model. The record is from RNAcentral.